AAUUUUUUUUUUUUUUCUUUCCCUUCCACUUCUCAUCAGACUCCAAAACCACUACUUACUCUCUCCUCGAGCCCUUAAUCUCUUCCAAAUCCUCUCAUCUCUCUCUGCUCACUCUCUCCUUGAGCCCUUAAUCACUUCCAAAUCCUCUCAUCUCUCUCUGCUCACUCUCUCCUUGAGCCCUUAAUCACUUCCAAAUCCUCUCAUCAGCUACGAGUGUGGACUCACAUAGCAGAUCUUCUACGGGUGUGGACUCGCAUACGGCGGUGUCGAGUAGCAGUCUAGAAAACGGUACAGCAACAAAAGAUUACAAAAUGGCUUCUUCCUCUAGUAACAAUAGCAACAUAAGAUUGAAACCAAGAUUGUGUGAUUGUGGGAGAACAGCUGCCAUACACAUUGUCUGAACCAAUCAGAAUGGAAUAAAGGGCAUGUGUACUUUGUGUGUUCAUCGAAAUAUGUAAGCAGUAUGGAAAUUUGUUCGGAAAUUUAUUAGCCUGAUUUGAUUAACUGAUUGUCAUGCAUUGUAGAUUAGUGAAGAACACUGCAAUUACUUCAAGUUCGCAGAUGAUAAUGAUGACGACGUGAUCUCCAAUGCUACACCUCGUAAAUCUAUAAGAAGCGAAGAAUUUAACGAUCUAAGCACAAGGGUUUAUGAGAUGGAUAAUGAAUUUCAGGAGCAUGGUAGAAGGCUUCGAAGGGUGGAGAAGAAAUUGAAUGCGAUGCUUUAUGUCAUUGUGUUUUGUAUUGUUUUUUAUUUUAUAAUGUAAAUUACUGAGUUGAUAGCUUUUGGGGAAUUUGAUGGAUGUACUUAUGGAUUGAAUGGACUUGAUGCAUUGUGGGUAUGUGUUGUGCUUCAUUCAAUGUGUGUAAUGAAAAACAUGUUCUGUUUUCAAUUA
This is a non-coding RNA of Camellia sinensis, 893 nucleotides long. The record is from RefSeq and is a predicted model, not a curated record. NCBI's taxonomy places the organism in Eukaryota, Viridiplantae, Streptophyta, Magnoliopsida, Ericales, Theaceae.